GCAGUAUGUUAUGACGGAUGAUGCAGUUCUCAUGAAGGUGGGUGCAGUCUCUCUGCAUUGCUUGCAGUGACCCCUGCAUUGUCCGGGAGUGUGGAUGCAGUGCCCAGUAUUGGAUGCAGUGUCCCACAAGGUGCAUGCAGUAGAUUGUGACAGAGGAUGCAGUGCCCAUGAGGGUGGAUUCAGUGAUCCGGCAGUGGUUGCAGUGCACCCUGCUGUGUCCCUGAAUGUGCAUGCUCUGAAAAUGCAGUGGAUGCAGUGAUCCUGCAGUGAUUGCAGUGCGCCUGCAUUUCCACAUCAGCUGGAAGCAGUGUCCCUGCAGGGGUUGCAGUGCCACCUACUGUGUCACUGAAGGUGAAUGCAGUGCCCAGGCAGUGAAUGCAGUGUACCUAUAGUUUUAUGCAGUAUGUUU
RNAcentral lists this long non-coding RNA (409 nucleotides) under Equus caballus (horse). RNAcentral describes it as "lncRNA (ENSECAG00000057373.1)". Lineage: Eukaryota; Metazoa; Chordata; Mammalia; Perissodactyla; Equidae. The record is from RNAcentral.